ACAUCUAGGUAAGCCAUGAGAUCCACAGCCUACGUUAGUGUUAUGGUGAUAUUUUUGUUUUAGGUAUAAGGCCCUACAAAUGUGAACGAGGCUGCCCGGCAGAGACCUUCGCGUGCAAGUACAAGCGUCAGGCACAUUAUCGGAGAGUUCACUUUGGCUAUACGUACGAAUGUACGCUUUGUGAUAAAUCUUUUGGAACCCGGCAGGGCCUGUUUUACCACAAGCAGAGGAAACACAAUUCACACGAGUGUACCGUUUGUCAUCAAAAAUUUGAAACAAAGACUGUUUUGAGACGACACAUUGCUGUGCUUCAUAAAGAGGUCGCUAUCAUUCCCUCGUCUGUCAGUUGAUCCUCCAAACAUUUGGAGGUAGAUAUUGUAAUAACGUGGAGGCCCCAAACUGGACUGAAAAUGGCGAUUUUUUGCUUAUGAGAAUAUAAAAGAAAGUUUCUAACAAAUCUGAGGGGCCAUUCGGAUGUUUAUAGGAAAUUUGAAUUCGAAAAUACCUAUGUGCAAUCGCAGUAACCCGUUUUUUAUUUAAAUUUUGUUUGACAUCUACGACUCAAUAUUUUGUCACUCUGCAUAACGUUUUCUUUCAAUAAAGACGCUUUCACGAAGG
RNA transcript from Aedes albopictus (Asian tiger mosquito), 618 nucleotides. RefSeq lists it as uncharacterized. The transcript is spliced from 2 exons. Lineage: Eukaryota; Metazoa; Arthropoda; Insecta; Diptera; Culicidae. The record is from RefSeq and is a predicted model, not a curated record.